This is a long non-coding RNA of Mesocricetus auratus (golden hamster), 2598 nucleotides long. RefSeq lists it as uncharacterized. The transcript has 3 exons. The record is from RefSeq and is a predicted model, not a curated record. Lineage: Eukaryota; Metazoa; Chordata; Mammalia; Rodentia; Cricetidae.
ACGCCCCCAUGCGCUGGACCGCCCCCAGCUAGGGGUUGAGCUAGCUCCCAGCUGCAAGGCUAUCCUCCGCACUCCCACCCAGUUUGCUCACUCGGGACUCAGCUAACAGCUAUGUGCCAAGGACCACCGGGUAGUACCAUCACCGAGCCAGUCAUACUCAGCAAGCUCCCGCCCCCACCCACCUCUGGUACGAUCCAACCAUCCCUAACCAACUCAUCACCAUGGGCUGCACCUGUGCCCAGGGCUGACAAUUUCCCUGCCUCUAAGCUACAGGUGCUCUUCUUGGUUCACCUUCCAUGUCGCUGACCAACAGGCCCUUAAAACAACAGAUCAACUCAGGGCCCUUGAAACCAUGUAACAGUGGUGGUGGUCAACUCCGCAUGGGCCAGUGGAAGCUCAAAACCAGGAUGAUGGGGAAAAAAAAACAACAAUGGGUGAUGCAGCUGAUCAAACCUUCAGGGACUUCCUCCCUAUGAGAGUAAAAUGAGUUUCUGAGAGAUGUGCCAACUAGGAAGUCCCACCCUGGAGGAAGCACAAGGAAGAGGACAACAGAGAGAAAAAUCUUAAAUCUCAAGCCCUUCUGGGUCAAGGCUGGGCUAGGCCUGUGCUAAAGAGCACGGGCUUGCUUCUUGCCUUGUCUAAUUAAACUUGACUGCUGGAACCAUUACUGGGCCCUGCCUGAACUGUCUUUUUCAGGAAAUCAAAAAUGGAAAAUUUCUGCUGGGGUGAAGACUAGAGGAAAUUGGAGACACCCACCCCCUUAGACACAGGGUGGAGAUUGCCAUGGGCAGCUCUCCAAACACCUGGUCUGUCUUCGCUGAGAGAGCAGCAAGGGCAGGUGAGGGUUCUUAGCUGGGGAAUUAGCCCAUCUGGUCUUGAACUGACAACACCUGCUGUGUUCUACUGAGGGUUGGGCCAUCCUUGGGCUCUGUGAAAAGAGGGAAGGGUGCUGACCUCCACCUGAAAUUCAGAGACCAGAGACGAUGCAGGGAGGCAGGGUACUUGGGCUAGGGAUGAUGAAACGUCAUAAGGAAAAUAAAGUCCCCAACUAAGUGAGGGGCAUGGGCAGCUGCUCCCUUAGCCCACAACUGUAGGAUGUGCUCAGGCCGUGGAAUCCCAGAGCACAGGUGUGCCAAUUAAUUCUGCCUAACCCAAUGCAGUCAUGGUCUUCUCAAGGCCCUUCAUCUUGAGAUAACUUUGUAUAAAAACUUGGUGUGCUAAGUAAUCUCUAACUAUGGAAACCCUACUGAGACCUAGUCUCAGAACUCCUCAAGGCCUUCAAGUCUCAUGAUAACCUCUAGUAUGCUAAGUAAUCUCUGUAACCAUGGGAACCCUGUGGGCUGGGACUUGUAACCUCGGGGGACCCCCCCCCCCGUUUUCUUUAAAAGUGCCUUGUUUUUGUGGCUUGGGGCUUCAACUCUCCUGUCAGAGUUGAGCCCUAGCUAGCUGGUUUUCCAGAAGUAAACAAACCUUCUUGUACUUGCAUUCAGUGUCAUUAAGCUCCUUGAAGCCUUGGGGUCCUCUCUGAGGGGACACCACAGGGACUGACCUCCCCCCGGGGAACUCACCAGGCUUUCUGGAACUGUAGAGGUCCAUACAGCCACAGCAUUGCCCAGAGAGUUAAAUGGCCAAUAGUUAGAAGGAGUAAUGCUUAGAGACAGAGGAAGGGUGUGGUCGCCCUGAUGGUCUUGCGCUGCUCAGAGAUUCCAGUGAGAACCCCUGUGUUCAGUCUCAUGUCUAUAAGAACAUGCCUAAGUAUGCCCAUUGUGACAUAGAUGACCCUCUCCUGCCCUGUGAGACCAGCCCAGUAGCUGUGAGACUGGAGGGAGGUGGAGAUAGAAGCUGUACUGGGUCCUUAUGCCUGCCAUUUCUCCUGAGCCUCCAAGCCUGCUUCCCUGAGAUAGGAUGGUCUUUGUGUCUUGGGGGCUCCUUUGCCUUGUGCCUAUGGUCUGCCUUUGUUUCUGCCUCACUUGUGUUUCAGGUUUUUAGUCCUAAAGGCAUGGGGAAACUAAGGAAGAAACAAGCUGAUACCGACAUUUUCUGACUUUCUGGCAGGUUUUCAUGGUUUUCUGUUUGAUGACUUCUAAGUUACAGGAAUGCAUGACAGCAAUUGAAUAAUCCGCAGUGGUGAUCAAGUUAAAAUUCAGUUCCUGCUAAGUGGACCCGAGGACCUGCCUCUUAACAGACCUGGAACCACCUCUUCCAAAUGACAGCCCUCCUCAGUUCAAAACAACUAGGAAAUAGACAACGUCCCUAUUCAUUUUAAUGUUUUCAGGAUCUGGAAUGAUAGAAUGCCCCAGCCACGGAAAAGGAAAAGUCCUGCUGAGAUGUCUUGCAGGCAUUGCCCAACUGCUGUCCAUCAACCACUACCCAACAACCCUGGCUGGGGCCAAGAGUUACAGAGACAAUACUACCCUGUUGGGAAAAACAACCCCAGGAGAAGGAGGUUUUGCAAUCUACAAGGACCCUCCACCAAUGCAUCAGCUUCCUAGUACCUAAGAGCCUGACAAGUUCACUGCCAUUCACUGAGCCCCUCCAUUCUUGUAGGAAAGCAGCUGCCCCAGGUGUGCUAAUAAACAGUCUCAUUGGUGGAGGUCA